RNAcentral lists this long non-coding RNA (646 nucleotides) under Gossypium raimondii (Peruvian cotton). RNAcentral's name for it is "long non-coding RNA (GRAI_LNC001763)". The record is from RNAcentral. Lineage: Eukaryota; Viridiplantae; Streptophyta; Magnoliopsida; Malvales; Malvaceae.
UUUUCAUAAAAAACGCCACAAAUAUAUUUGCUGAAACAACGCCGUUUUCCAGUUUAAAGAUAAUUUACGGCGUUUUUUGACAAACGCCACAAAUAAAAAUGCAAUAAAUAUUUGCUAAAAUUUGAAUAAAUUUUAUUAUUUAUUUAUUUAUCUCUUGUAUAUUUAAUUUGAAUUUUACAUAAAUAAUUAUUAAAAUUUUAAGUAAUAUUUAAAAGUAUUUAAUAUAAAAAUUAAUAACCCCUAAUUCCCAAAUUCCUAACCCAUAACCCCUAAAUCCCCCUUAACCCUUAAAGCAAAAACCCUAAACCCCUAAAUCUCCCUAACCCCUAAAGCAUAACCCCUAAAAAAUUUUAUUAUAUAAUUUUACUAUUUAAAUUUUGCGUAAAUAAAUAUUAUUUAAAAAUAUUAAGUAAUAUUUAAAAGUAUUUGAUACAUGUAUCAAUCUACAUGCAUAAGUGAUCAUCUAUCUAUUAUAUAUCUCUUAAAUAAUAUAAACUAUAUACUCAUAAUUUAAAUAUAUUAAAUUUCUUAUUAUCUAUUUUAGAAAUAUAUAAUAACAUAUUUGAUAUAAAAAUUAAUAAAAACUAUUUAAUCUAAACUUAAACUCUAACCUUACCGUUCAAACCCUAAACCCCAAAUCCCUAAC